CGCAUCUGUGCAUGCAGCAUAUCAAUAAGCGGAGGAAAAGAAACUAACAAGGAUUCCCCUAGUAACGGCGAGUGAAGCGGGAAGAGCUCAAAUUUGAAAUCUUAAAGGGUUUCCCUUUACGAAUUGUAGUUUAAAGAAGUGUUUUCUGUUGAGGUUUUGGUAAAAGUUCUUUGGAAUAGGACAUCAUAGAGGGUGAGAAUCCCGUAUUUGACCUUUACUUUCAACUUUGUGAUACACUUUCAAAGAGUCGGAUCGUUUGGGAAUGCAGUCCAAAAUGGGUGGUAAAUUUCAUCUAAAGCUAAAUAUUGGCGAGAGACCGAUAGCGAACAAGUACCGUGAGGGAAAGAUGAAAAGAACUUUGAAAAGAGAGUUAAACAGUACGUGAAAUUGUCAAAAGGGAAGCGUUUGACACCAGUGUUGUUUUUCUGAAAAUCAAUUAAAGAACUGUUUAUGCUAAGCUGUUUAGACUUUAUCAGCUAUCUGUUUAGUUUUGAGCUUUUCUUUAAUGCACUUUUCAGUUAACAAGUCAACAUCAAUUUCUUUUGCUGUAAAAAAGCUUGAGGAAGGUGGCUUGAGAUUCGUCUUAAGUGUUUAUAGCCUCUUGCCUAUGCAGUCGGAGAGAUUGAGGUCUGCAGGCGUAGAUCCUUCGGGGCUAAAUGCAUUUGUGCUAAGUUAUAGCAUUUUAUAGACAACUUGUUGACUAUGAUUUGUCUUGUAGCUUACUCGCUUAUGUUAUUUUACCUACGCUUAGGAUGUUGAAUCUGUGCGAGACUAC
RNAcentral lists this ribosomal RNA (775 nucleotides) under uncultured Neocallimastigales. Its description in RNAcentral is "partial large subunit ribosomal RNA". It matches the Rfam family "Eukaryotic large subunit ribosomal RNA", at positions 26 to 644 of the family's 3401-position model. Lineage: Eukaryota; Fungi; Neocallimastigomycota; Neocallimastigomycetes; Neocallimastigales. The record is from RNAcentral.